AUUGAACGCUGGCGGCAUGCCUUACACAUGCAAGUCGAACGGCAGCGCGGACUUCGGUCUGGCGGCGAGUGGCGAACGGGUGAGUAAUACAUCGGAACGUACCCUGUUGUGGGGGAUAACUAGUCGAAAGAUUAGCUAAUACCGCAUACGACCUGAGGGUGAAAGUGGGGGACCGCAAGGCCUCACGCAGCAGGAGCGGCCGAUGUCUGAUUAGCUAGUUGGUGGGGUAAAGGCCCACCAAGGCGACGAUCAGUAGCUGGUCUGAGAGGACGAUCAGCCACACUGGGACUGAGACACGGCCCAGACGCCUACGGGAGGCAGCAGUGGGGAAUUUUGGACAAUGGGGGCAACCCUGAUCCAGCAAUGCCGCGUGUGUGAAGAAGGCCUUCGGGUUGUAAAGCACUUUUGUCCGGAAAGAAAUCGCGCUGGUUAAUACCUGGCGUGGAUGACGGUACCGGAAGAAUAAGCACCGGCUAACUACGUGCCAGCAGCCGCCGUAA
Molecule: ribosomal RNA, 500 nt
Filed under: uncultured bacterium
Lineage: Bacteria
Description: partial 16S ribosomal RNA
Rfam family: Bacterial small subunit ribosomal RNA
Source: RNAcentral